RNAcentral lists this ribosomal RNA (484 nucleotides) under uncultured bacterium. Its description in RNAcentral is "partial 16S ribosomal RNA". It matches the Rfam family "Bacterial small subunit ribosomal RNA", at positions 899 to 1397 of the family's 1533-position model. The record is from RNAcentral.
ACUCAAAUGAAUUGACGGGGGCCCGCACAAGCAGCGGAGCGUGUGGUUUAAUUCGAUGCAACGCGCAGAACCUUACCUAGGCUUGACAUGCAUGUGGUACCGAAGUGAAAGCUGAGGGACCCGCAAGGGAGCAUGCACAGAUGCUGCAUGGCUGUCGUCAGCUCGUGCCGUGAGGUGUUGGGUUAAGUCCCGCAACGAGCGCAACCCCCGCCGUCAGUUACCUUCUCUGGCGGGACCGCCGGUACAAACCGGAGGAAGGUGGGGAUGACGUCAAGUCAGCACGGCUCUUACGUCUAGGGCUACACACACGCUACAAUGGCCGGUACAACGGGCAGCGAUGGGGCGACCCGGAGCGAAUCCCACCAAAGCCGGUCUCAGUUCGGAUUGCAGGCUGCAACUCGCCUGCAUGAAGUCGGAGUUGCUAGUAACCGCUGGUCAGCACACAGCGGUGAAUACGUUCCCGGGCCUUGUACACACCGCCCGU